AGUCGAACGAUGAAGCCCAGCUUGCUGGGUAUUAGUGGCGAACGGGUGAGUAACAUGAGUAACCUGCCCCCGACUCUGGGAUAAGCCCGGGAAACUGGGUCUAAUACCGGAUAUGACCUUUGACCGCAUGGUUGUUGGUGGAAAGAUUUAUCGGUGGGGGAUGGACUCGCGGCCUAUCAGCUUGUUGGUGAGGUAAUGGCUCACCAAGGCGACGACGGGUAGCCGGCCAUGGAGAGGGUGACCCCCCACACUGGGAUUGAGACACGGCCCAGACUCCUACGGGAGGCAGCAGUGGGGAAUAAAUUGCACAAUGGGCGGAAGCCUGAUGCAGCGACGCCGCGUGAGGGAUGACGGCCUUCGGGUUGUAAACCUCUUUCAGUAGGGAAGAAGCGAAAGUGACGGUACCUGCAGAAGAAGCGCCGGCUAACUACGUGCCAGCAGCCGCGGUAAUACGUAGGGCAAAAGCGUCCGGAUUUAUUGGGCGUAAAGAGCUCGUAGGCGG
RNAcentral lists this ribosomal RNA (502 nucleotides) under uncultured bacterium. RNAcentral's name for it is "bacterial SSU rRNA". It matches the Rfam family "Bacterial small subunit ribosomal RNA", at positions 60 to 578 of the family's 1533-position model. The record is from RNAcentral.